Molecule: ribosomal RNA, 406 nt
Filed under: uncultured prokaryote
Description: bacterial SSU rRNA
Rfam family: Bacterial small subunit ribosomal RNA
Source: RNAcentral
AGACGCUGGCGGCAGGCCUAACACAUGCAAGUCGAACGAAGUCUUCGGACUUAGUGGCGGACGGGUUAGUAACGCGUGGGAACGUGCCCUUUACUUCGGAAUAGUCCCGGGAAACUGGGUUUAAUACGGAAUACGCCCUUGGGGGGAAAGAUUUAUCGGUAAAGGAUCGGCCSGCGUUGGAUUAGGUAGUUGGUGGGGUAAUGGCCUACCAAGCCGACGAUCCAUAGCUGGUUUGAGAGGAUGAUCAGCAACACUGGGACUGAGACACGGCCCAGACUCCUACGGGAGGCAGCAGUGGGGAAUCUUAGACAAUGGGGGCAACCCUGAUCUAGCCAUGCCGCGUGAGUGAAGAAGGCCUUAGGGUCGUAAAGCUCUUUCGCCAGGGAUGAUAAUGACAGUACCUGGA